GGAAGUAAAAGUUGUAACAAGGUUUCCGUAGGUGAACCUGCGGAAGGAUCAUUAAAGAAUUGCCCCGUCUUCUCGAAGAUGGGUUCUAUUCCAAACCGUGUUUACAUACCUUUGUUGCUUUGGCGGGCCGCCGCUUCGGCGUUGGCUCCGGCUGACUGCGCCCGCCAGAGAACCACAACUCUUUUGUUUAGUAAUGUCUGAGUACUAUAUAAUAGUUAAAACUUUCAACAACGGAUCCCUUGGUUCUG
RNAcentral lists this unclassified non-coding RNA (248 nucleotides) under plant metagenome. RNAcentral describes it as "partial contains small subunit ribosomal RNA, internal transcribed spacer 1, and 5.8S ribosomal RNA". The stretch from base 1 to 54 matches the Rfam family "Eukaryotic small subunit ribosomal RNA", at positions 1778 to 1831 of the family's 1831-position model. The record is from RNAcentral.